This 454-nucleotide long non-coding RNA is filed under the name Malus domestica (apple). Its description in RNAcentral is "long non-coding RNA (MDOM_LNC011183)". The record is from RNAcentral. Lineage: Eukaryota; Viridiplantae; Streptophyta; Magnoliopsida; Rosales; Rosaceae.
ACAUGGAGAAAUUGCUCUCGAGUACUCGUCUUCCACUGCUGAUGUACUCCAAAGAAGCUGCCACAUCUAUCCGAAGAACAGAUAAGGCAAGCGAAAAUGAUACCAGCAGCAUGUGUAGACAACGUGCAGAAGAAACAAGCAGAGAAGAAUGCAGCUUGCACAAUCAUCCCAGCGGAAGGAGUCUGAGAUGAAGAACUAGAGAAGCUGCCACAUCUGCUUGGAGAACAAAUAAGGAAUUGAGCCUGCACAAUCAACUCGAGAGCAGAAGGAAUCUGAGUUGAAGAACUCAAGAAACUUCAACAACAUCGCAAAGAGCAAAGCUCCGCCGUACAAUAUCAUAAAAUCAUCACUUGCAAGUGAAAAGCUAAGUGUCACCCUGUUCAAGAGGAAAGCUGUGGAAAGUCAACAAGCACGACCAAUGAUUACUUAUUAGUUUUAUUCAUUAUCUUUUAUC